This 71-nucleotide transfer RNA is filed under the name Marmota monax (woodchuck). RNAcentral describes it as "tRNA.Ala". It matches the Rfam family "tRNA". From Rfam's summary of the family: Transfer RNA (tRNA) molecules are approximately 80 nucleotides in length. The record is from RNAcentral. Lineage: Eukaryota; Metazoa; Chordata; Mammalia; Rodentia; Sciuridae.
GGGGUUGUGGCUCAGCGGUAGAGUGGUCGCCUUGCACGCGCCAGGCCCUGGGUUCGAUCCUCAGCACCACA